RNAcentral lists this ribosomal RNA (256 nucleotides) under uncultured archaeon. RNAcentral describes it as "partial 16S ribosomal RNA". It matches the Rfam family "Bacterial small subunit ribosomal RNA", at positions 521 to 776 of the family's 1533-position model. The record is from RNAcentral.
UAAUACGGAGGAUCCAAGCGUUAUCCGGAUUUAUUGGGUUUAAAGGGUGCGUAGGCGGCCUAUUAAGUCAGGGGUGAAAGACGGUAGCUUAACUAUCGCAGUGCCUUUGAUACUGAUGGGCUUGAAUGUACUUGAGGUAGGCGGAAUGUGACAAGUAGCGGUGAAAUGCAUAGAUAUGUCACAGAACACCAAUUGCGAAGGCAGCUUACUAAAGUAUGAUUGACGCUGAGGCACGAAAGCGUGGGGAUCAAACAGG